AAAUUUAAAUAAUGCUAAAAUAUUUUAAUCGCUGAAAUUAAUUAACAAAAAUUAGUUUAUUCAACAAAACCCUAGUAACAAUUCACUCCGACAAUUGAUUACAUCCGACAAUAACUUGAAUUUGCCAGAGCCGAGAAAUUCGAGUAAAAGAGAGAAAAAAAAGAUAUUUUUAGAGAAUUUCAAUAUCUCAAAAAAAUACAAAAGAAACUGGCUUUAUUCUGCGGUAUGACUUGAAGAGAAAUAAAUUGAGAAGAAGAUAAAAUUAGAAGGGGGAUAGGUGAAAGGUAAAAGGAGUUUGGAAAGAGAAAAUACGUCGUUUCGCGAAGCUGAUUCCGUCUAUUCACCAGAGGAUCAGCCUCAAAGGACAGGUCAAAUCCGGAGUAUUUCCAAAAAAUUCUAAGGGUGAAAACGUAAAACAAGAUAAUCCUGUUAUAUACUUGGACGGAAAGUAAAGAAAUGUGUUAUAUGAAACCUAGCUCCCAUUCAGGAGACAUCUUUUCUUAGCACUUUUAUGCCAGUAACGUAAAAAUGAAAACAUCCAGUACAAGACACUGUUCAUUAGAAACGUAAGCAGACAAGAUCAAUUUUCCUCCGUUUCGAUUACGUUUGUUAUAAUGUGUACAAUAGAAUAGAAGAACAGGUAAGUUCUGAGCUUUCUAUACCCAGUGAGAAUUUUUUCAGGUAUUACUUGGGAGAAAGAUAGUUCGGUUUGUGAUGGUGUAUUCUACGGUUGAAUUCUUAGUUAAUUUUUUCUAUAAUUUCCUUCAUCCGAUCUUCUAUAGAGAUAAGCUAUAAGAAUAUACUAUCAUCGUACUUAUAGAUUUUUGAAAACUUUGCGAAAAAAAUUUUACAAAUUAAAGAGGUUGUAUCUUUGUCUUCACGUCCACUCUCUCCGUUUCCAAAAAUUUCAGUUUAACCUAAGAACUGCGAGGAAAUCAA
Centruroides sculpturatus (bark scorpion) is the source of this 939-nucleotide long non-coding RNA. RefSeq lists it as uncharacterized. Lineage: Eukaryota; Metazoa; Arthropoda; Arachnida; Scorpiones; Buthidae. The transcript is spliced from 3 exons. The record is from RefSeq and is a predicted model, not a curated record.